RNAcentral lists this transfer RNA (74 nucleotides) under Lachnospiraceae bacterium. Its description in RNAcentral is "tRNA-Asp". It matches the Rfam family "tRNA". From Rfam's summary of the family: Transfer RNA (tRNA) molecules are approximately 80 nucleotides in length. Lineage: Bacteria; Bacillati; Bacillota; Clostridia; Lachnospirales; Lachnospiraceae. The record is from RNAcentral.
GGCCCGGUGGCUCAGUUGGUUAGAGCGCCGCCCUGUCACGGCGGAAGUCGUCGGUUCGAGUCCGAUCCGGGUCG